GGAUAUGAGGGCUAUCUGGGUGCGACAUCUGCCACCCCAUUGAUCGCCAGGGUUGAUUCAGCUGAUCUGGCUGGCUAGGUGGGUAUCUCCUUCCUCCCUCACCGCUCCAUGUGAGUCCCUCCUGAAGCUGCACACUCGCACUCUGUUGAAGAGGAAGGCCUUCCCAAACAGAGACAGGUCUUCUUUGGUCUAGGGUAUAGGAGUAGCUGCUAAAACCUCCAAACAAGCUCUCAAGAAAGUGAAGGUAGGGCCUUACUAGUAAAUAGAAAUGGACAUCAGCUUUCACCUGAGGUUAGUUAUUUUUGU
Erinaceus europaeus (western European hedgehog) is the source of this 306-nucleotide unclassified non-coding RNA. Its record names the gene 7SK. It matches the Rfam family "7SK RNA". Rfam says of the family: 7SK was discovered as an abundant small nuclear RNA in the mid-70s but a possible function has only recently been suggested. Two independent studies have found that 7SK RNA binds the CDK9/cyclin T complex (known as elongation factor P-TEFb). The record is from Ensembl. Lineage: Eukaryota; Metazoa; Chordata; Mammalia; Eulipotyphla; Erinaceidae.